UGCGUAGGCGGAAUGAUAAGUUAGUGGUGAAAGCCCCCGGCUCAACCGGGGAACUGCCAUUAAUACUGUCAUUCUUGAGUAUAGUUGAAGUGGGCGGAAUGUAUCAUGUAGCGGUGAAAUGCUUAGAUAUGAUACAGAACACCGAUAGCGUAGGCAGCUUGCUAAACUAUAACUGACGCUCAGGCACGGAAGCGUGGGGAGCAAACAGGAUUAGAUACCCUGGUAGUCC
RNAcentral lists this ribosomal RNA (229 nucleotides) under uncultured bacterium. Its description in RNAcentral is "partial 16S ribosomal RNA". It matches the Rfam family "Bacterial small subunit ribosomal RNA", at positions 568 to 796 of the family's 1533-position model. The record is from RNAcentral.